This 494-nucleotide ribosomal RNA is filed under the name uncultured bacterium. Its description in RNAcentral is "partial 16S ribosomal RNA". It matches the Rfam family "Bacterial small subunit ribosomal RNA", at positions 28 to 507 of the family's 1533-position model. The record is from RNAcentral.
GACGAACGCUGGCGGCGCGCUUAACACAUGCAAGUCGAACGGAAAGGCCUGCUUUCCCUUGUGGAUUGCGGGUACUCGAGUGGCGAACGGGUGAGUAACACGUGAGUUAUCUGCCCCCAACUUGGGUAUAAGCCUGGGAAACUGGGUCUAAUUCCCGAUAGGACUGCAGGGUGGUGCCUGUGGUGGAAAACGAUUUUCUAGUGGUUGGGGAUGAGCUCGCGGCCUAUCAGCUUGUUGGUGGGGUAAUGGCCUACCAAGGCGGCGACGGGUAGCCGGCCUGGGAGGGUGGACGGCCACAUUGGGACUGAGAUACGGCCCAGACGCCUACGGGAGGCAGCAGUGGGGAAGAUGGCACAAUGGGCGGAAGCCUGAUGCAGCGACGCCGCGUGGGGGAUGACGGCCUUCGGGUUGUAAACUCCUUUCGACCGCGAGGAAGCCACCUGGUUGGAAGGGUGGUGACGGUAGUGGUAGAAGAAGCACCGGCUAACUACGUG